This 28-nucleotide non-coding RNA is filed under the name Mus musculus (house mouse). The record is from RNAcentral. Lineage: Eukaryota; Metazoa; Chordata; Mammalia; Rodentia; Muridae.
UAGACAGAGUCAAUCUAGCCUAGGUGGG